Molecule: long non-coding RNA, 1336 nt
Filed under: Homo sapiens (human)
Lineage: Eukaryota; Metazoa; Chordata; Mammalia; Primates; Hominidae
Description: long non-coding RNA NONHSAT180078.1
Source: RNAcentral
CAAAGGCGCGGCCGCCCGGCGCCCCCAGCAGCCCGAGCCGGGGCGCACAGCCGGGGCGCAGCCCGCGCCCCCCGCCGCGAUUGACAUGAUGUUUCCACAAAGCAGGCAUUCGGGCUCCUCGCACCUACCCCAGCAACUCAAAUUCACCACCUCGGACUCCUGCGACCGCAUCAAAGACGAAUUUCAGCUACUGCAAGCUCAGUACCACAGCCUCAAGCUCGAAUGUGACAAGUUGGCCAGUGAGAAGUCAGAGAUGCAGCGUCACUAUGUGAUGGUAACUACUACGAGAUGUCCUACGGCUUGAACAUCGAGAUGCACAAACAGGCUGAGAUCGUCAAAAGGCUGAACGGGAUUUGUGCCCAGGUCCUGCCCUACCUCUCCCAAGAGCACCAGCAGCAGGUCUUGGGAGCCAUUGAGAGGGCCAAGCAGGUCACCGCUCCCGAGCUGAACUCUAUCAUCCGAGUAUCAGCUCCAAGCCCACCAGCUGUCCCAGCUGCAGGCCCUGGCCCUGCCCUUGACCCCACUACCCGUGGGGCUGCAGCCGCCUUCGCUGCCGGCGGUCAGCGCAGGCACCGGCCUCCUCUCGCUGUCCGCGCUGGGUUCCCAGGCCCACCUCUCCAAGGAAGACAAGAACGGGCACGAUGGUGACACCCACCAGGAGGAUGAUGGCGAGAAGUCGGAUUAGCAGGGGGCCGGGACAGGGAGGUUGGGAGGGGGGACAGAGGGGAGACAGAGGCACGGAGAGAAAGGAAUGUUUAGCACAAGACACAGCGGAGCUCGGGAUUGGCUAAACUCCCAUAGUAUUUAUGGUGGCCGCCGGCGGGGGCCCCAGCCCAGCUUGCAGGCCACCUCUAGCUUUCUUCCUACCCCAUUCCCGGCUUCCCUCCUCCUCCCCUGCAGCCUGGUUAGGUGGAUACCUGCCCUGACAUGUGAGGCAAGCUAAGGCCUGGAGGGUCAGAUGGGAGACCAGGUCCCAAGGGAGCAAGACCUCGCGAAGCGCAGCAGCCCCGGCCCUUCCCCCGUUUUGAACAUGUGUAACCGACAGUCUGCCUGGGCCACAGCCCUCUCACCCUGGUACUGCAUGCACGCAAUGCUAGCUGCCCCUUUCCCGUCCUGGGCACCCCGAGUCUCCCCCGACCCCGGGUCCCAGGUAUGCUCCCACCUCCACCUGCCCCACUCACCACCUCUGCUAGUUCCAGACACCUCCACGCCCACCUGGUCCUCUCCCAUCGCCCACAAAAGGGGGGGCACGAGGGACGAGCUUAGCUGAGCUGGGAGGAGCAGGGUGAGGGUGGGCGACCCAGGAUUCCCCCUCCCCUUCCCAAAUAAAGAUGAG